RNAcentral lists this long non-coding RNA (2239 nucleotides) under Macaca fascicularis (crab-eating macaque). RNAcentral describes it as "lncRNA (ENSMFAG00000057217.1)". The record is from RNAcentral. Lineage: Eukaryota; Metazoa; Chordata; Mammalia; Primates; Cercopithecidae.
UUUUUUCACAAAACAUUUUAUUACUAUAAUUGAUAUUUUACUUAUAAUUUUUGGCAACAUUAAUAAAAUAAUAAAUUUCAUCUGAAAGAACAAGCGAGCAAAAUAGACAAGGAAAUUCACAAAGGGUAAUAACAAAAUAGUAAUCUUGACAUAUUCAAUAUAUUUGUAAACAAAACAAAGUGACAUUGCCUUAAAAAUAUAUAGAGGUAUCAAUAAAAAAAGAGAAAGCUCCUGAAAGAACUCACUAUAUUAAUUUUCAUUUGGUUGCAGGCACAGAAAUUGACUCGAGCUAGCUCAACUCUAAGACAGAAGCAAAGCCCUUGAUGAUGAUCGUUUUUCAGCUUUUUCAUGAAAACUUAGGAAAUUUAAAUACACUGAAGAGGGAAGAAAAGAGUAGGGAGAGAGUAAAGUGCCUUUAAGAGGAAAAAGUAAAAGUUUUUUUUUUUUUUUACAGGGAGAUCUCAUUGUCAGUGGCAUUUUAAGAGCCUUGAAGCUCAAUGAACCAAAGGAAGUGUCAAACAAUUAAGUGAGGUAGCAAGCCAUGCAGGCCUAGGGGAAGGGCAUUCUAAGAAAGACAAUAGCAUGUGCAAAGUCUUUGGAUUGGGAAGAAUGUGAUUUGCUUAAGGAAUAGCAAGGCCAGUGUGUCAAAAUAGUGCAUCAUUGGGGAAAAGAGUGGAGAAGCAUGACAUAGAAUGAAAGAGAGUAAGGAGGUAGGCAGGGGCCAGAUCACUGGAAUCUAUAGUUGGCAAUUAAUGACCAUAUGUACUCCUUAAGAGCAUGCUUUAAUGAAACAGCAAACAACAGUGUUGAUAAUACCAACCAAUCACUCAACAUACAACUAAAAUAUUUCAUAUUUUUACCACAGAAACAGAAUACGGGAGGUAAGUAUGAAAAGUCUGUAGAUCUAUUUAUACACAGUAGGAGUAUCUACCUGAGACAAGAAAAACUGGCACAAACACACCCACUUGCACACACAUACCCUUUCGUCAACUAAAGAAAGGAUUCAGGCUGAAAUUUUAGCAAAGUGUCUUAACCCAAGCAAAGUAACUGAAAAGACCUAGUAAAGUGUUCAAGGUGCAAAUCAAUCAAGUGAGUGUCAGACAAAUAAAUACAAUGGGAGCUACAGUCAGAAAAUGUUGCAAAAUAUAGAUAAUAUACUCACAACUUAUUUGUUAUCUGUACUGCCUUCUAGUUCUAAGAGGGAUGCUAAGCUCUUAAUUAUCUCUUCGCAGACUUUUGUGAAAGCUUAGGAAAUUUAACUAGAUUGAGGAGGGAAAAAAGGAGUGGGGAGAGAUAAUAUACCUUUAAAAAGAAAUCAAGGAAAAAGGGAAAGACUUCUCCAGACCUAUGUCUAUAGCCAAGAUGGCAGAUUCCAUGACUGGUGAAGACAGGUUGCUGGGCACCUUAGUCGGGGGUGGAGGUACAAAGGAUGGCACCAGAACACAACCAAGGAGACAACUCCAGGAGUCCACAGAGGCACCGAAGGCUGCUGAUGUUCAGGAACCAAUACUCAAAAAGUACUCCAGAAUACUGUGAAACAGUCCCUGGGGAGAGGAAGCGAAAAAGGUUCACCCACAGUACAGAUUAGAUAGGACAGAUCAGAUGAAGGACAUUAAGUCUUAACACUUACUGAAUUAGGGAGACAUUUCUUGCACACUGGUAUGUAUCAAGUAAGACCCAAACAGCAUUAGUGUCAAUAAACUGGGAAACUAUACAUAAAACAGAAGAACUGUAAGCUGCAAUACAUUCAUGUCCAAGGCAAGACAUAAAAGUUGUAAGCUUCACAUGUUCAAUUAGGGUAAGAUAUAUAUGCACAGAAAAAUAUAAAGCCAUUAUGGGUUUAAAUUUAGUCAGUCACCCUGGGCUAUUUUUGUCCACUGUACCUACUGUUCUUGGACAGUCCUCAUUCCAGCUCAACAGUGGGAAAACUAAAUUUAGCCCAGUCCAGGAAAUGGACAGACACCACUUGUUUGGCCCUUUUCAGUUAAAACUAUGGGUCCAGUACAGUUCAAAUUAUAGAUAUCAGGGCUUCUUCCCCUUGGGAAACUUAACUUGCUUUACUGCUGUGGCUCAGAGGAAUAUGGCCAGUUCAUUCUCCACUAACGGCUAGCCAGAAGGGAGAGGAGAGAGAAUGAAUCAAUUUCACCUUUAGAUCACAGAAUGGGAAGUCAGAUAGCACCAGGCAUCAUUCUAUUAUUAAUUGUAUUGCUAUUUCAUCUCAAACCAAUGAUACAUGGCA